This 73-nucleotide transfer RNA is filed under the name Saccoglossus kowalevskii. RNAcentral's name for it is "tRNA-Tyr". It matches the Rfam family "tRNA". From Rfam's summary of the family: Transfer RNA (tRNA) molecules are approximately 80 nucleotides in length. Lineage: Eukaryota; Metazoa; Hemichordata; Enteropneusta; Harrimaniidae. The record is from RNAcentral.
CCAUCGAUAGCGCAGUUGGUAGAGCGGAGGACUGUAGAUCCUUAGGUCGCUGGUUCGAAUCCAGCUCGAAGGA